UAACCCUCCCGUCCUGAGUGGCCGUGGCUAUUUAUGAAAUCCAGCAGAAGGAGGAUGCUCGGCAGCGCAAUGCCGCUCCGACCCCAACCUCUGCAGCGGGGCUGACCCCCCCCCCCAGCCCUGGAAGGGGGGCACAGCCCGCACCCCUCGGCGCUGGGGUGACCGCCAGAGCCCAGCACUGAGACGCCCGCCUUGAGGCGGGCAGCCGGGGGCUCUGAGGAGCCGGCAGCUCGGCCCGGGAGAAGGGCUCGGCCACCGAGGCGGCACCCCCUCAGGAGCCUCCCUCCCGCCGCCGGUGAGCGCCUCACGCCUGUCACCAAUCCCCCCCCCUCCCGCCACAGCACAGCUGCCGCCCGCCGCCAGCGGGACGUGAGGAGAAUUGAGGUGAAACCCGCCCCACCGCAACCAGAGGAUCGGAAGGGCUACAUGGGAGAGCAAAUAGAAGCGUGUAAAUAGUAUCAGACCUCUAAAGUGGGUUUUAUAAAAAUGGGCUGACGUAUAUCAGGAAUCAGCAUUGACAUUAGAGAAACAACGAUGCGGUGAGCUCAGCUAUUACUUGCUGCCUCUUCCAUGUCCCAUAGUUGGGAGGCAUGGCUGGUGGUUGGGAGAACUGGCAAUUUGGGGGAUUUACUGGGUGAAUUAAAGUAUUGAAGGAACAGGAAGGUCACAGGGGAAAUGAGAGUACGGAGGAGUGAGAGGAAGGAGCACAGCAUAUAAAUCUAUCAAAACUGAGUUUCAUUAGUUCAUUGUUCAUGGAACAAUUUGUUUUGCUCUCUUAAUUGGGUAAGAUGGAGAAGACAGUGGUAACUCAGCAAGAUCCCUUCUGAAGUAACCAGGCUGGUCAGGAAAGUUGUUUCUCCCUCCCAAAUAUCCCUUCUCAUCAGUCGUUACUGUUCUGCCCUGAAGAUUCGGAGUCAGAUGGUUGCAAGCGUAAGCUCCCAUCUUAGGUUCCCCAAUGCUGAAUUUUUCCAGGAGGGUGCUGACGCAGGAGAGGAAUACCACAGAUUAGUCAACACUUGCACAAAAAAAAAAUAACCAAGGAGUACAGUGAAGAAAAAAAGCACAAGUGGUAUGUGUCUGGCAGAGAGAAGGUAGCUCCUGGUCUCAGCAGCAGCAGCUGCUGCAAGGUUCAGAUGCCAGCCUGAGCCUUGCGGAAAGAUAUUUCUCCCAGCGGAGAUGUGAGACGCUUUGGCUGAUCUGGGUCUAAAUGCAGGCAGAAAAACAUAGAUGGCAUUUCAGACUUGCAUGAGUGCCCAUUUAACACUGUGAUCUACCUGAGCUGAAAGUCUUAAUGUUAAAAAUAAAGGCAGAAUUUGGAAUUUAAAGACUAUUCAAGUACCUAGUCCUGAACAAAUAGCUUCUAGAUAUCCUUAGAGCUAACAGAAGUGGGCCUGGAGGGGAUUAAAAGAAGUAAGAAAGCAUGAGUAGUUGCAAUAAGUAAACACUAUUUCCUUUUCCCUGAUAUUUGCUGUAGUCAGAUUUAUGCAUAUAGAAAUCAAGUGACGUGAGACUCUAUCUCCUGCUGCUUCAUUCCACCCUCACGCUUCAGCACACAGAGUUCACUGAUCUUAUCUGGGAACUUCUCCUAAAAUAAAACAAGCAAAACUGAGAGAAUACCAGAAAUGACAAAUAACUAAUUUCUCCACCAGUGUGAUACUCUUAAGACUUGAGCUGAAGGCUGAACCUGCCAGCAAGAUUCCCAAGGAAACUUCUCGUCUCUGGGCUGUGCAAUUGCACUUAAAGAGAAAGCGAAAGAGGCUGCAAACAGCUCUUGAAGAAGAAGCAGGUGGUUGGGAAUCUGCCCCCACCCCUCCCACCCCCCGCAACAAAAUGCCUUUGGAAAAAUUAUCCUUAAUUCUGGAUUACUCGUUGUUGCUGGAAAACGAUCUUACCUCACUGCAUCUGAUGAGAAUGGAAACACGAUAUAAUCAUCAUAAUAACAAAUAUUACACACUCUUAUUUUGCACAAACUGCUUUGCACUGCAAGAGGAUGUUUCACUGGCAGAUUGCAAAGCUCCCCCAAACUGAGCAAGGAUUACAAAAGAAUCACUUUCUGCUGAAAAAAGCCCUUUCUCAAACACAGCAGCCAGUUAAUAACUAACCGCAAGAUGCAGGGUAGUUUAGUACAGGAAAUAAGCUCAUACUUCAGUGGAAGUGCAGGGGGACAUUAGGUAAACAGAUUAGGGGGGCUGGGUGUUGGCCAAAAUAUUGGUACUCUAGAGGUAUGCUGACAACAAGCACUGCUGUUUUUUUGACUGUCCCCUUGGAUGGUUCACAGCCACUUCUUCCCCAUCUCGCCAGAAAUACCGCUCCUCCGCCGGAGCCGUGCCUUCUGCACGAGGUCUGUGUGAGACGUGGAUCCUGCAGCCACUUCCUGCAGCAGGCGGCCGCGCUUGUGUAGCUUCUGCCGGACGAACAGAUUGCAACAGAGCUGACCUGGACUGUACGUGUGGUCCUGAUAAGAAACGUCCACCGGUGAAACCAAUAAUUGCUGGACGGGUGAGAACAUUUGCAGCGGUGCUUCUGUGGGCAGGAGGGCCUCUCCUGCUCAUUGGCCAUACGGCAGACCUUGUCACAGCAGUGUGGAAGUUGUAGCCAUGUUGCAGUUAUUUUUUUCUUGCCUUUUCACAGCAGAAGGGUUCCUCUAUCACACCCUUUUAAAAUAGCUCAGCGCUUUUAAUCCUUUGGUAAAUUCACAGAAGUUCUGUGCUGUCUUUUUUGUUCUUGUUAAGUAAAGGAAAAUCUAAACUA
Molecule: non-coding RNA, 2751 nt
Organism: Phalacrocorax carbo (great cormorant)
Lineage: Eukaryota; Metazoa; Chordata; Aves; Suliformes; Phalacrocoracidae
Source: RefSeq, a predicted model, not a curated record